Molecule: ribosomal RNA, 404 nt
Filed under: Fusobacteriota bacterium
Lineage: Bacteria; Fusobacteriati; Fusobacteriota
Description: Fusobacteria bacterium partial 16S ribosomal RNA
Rfam family: Bacterial small subunit ribosomal RNA
Source: RNAcentral
UGGGGAAUAUUGCACAAUGGAGGGAACUCUGAUGCAGCGACGCCGCGUGAGUGAUGAAGGACUUCGUUUCGUAAAACUCUGUUCUAUGGGAAGAAAAGGACUGUACCAUAGGAGAAAGCUCCGGCUAAAUACGUGCCAGCAGCCGCGGUAAUACGUAUGGAGCGAGUGUUGUCCGGAAUUAUUGGGCGUAAAGGGUGCGCAGGCGGCUUUACAAGUUGGAUGUGAAAUAUUGUGGCUCAACCACAAACGUGCAUCCAAAACUGCAAAGCUUGAGUUAAGGAGAGGUAAGUGGAAUUCCUGGUGUAGCGGUGGAAUGCGUAGAUAUCAGGAGGAAUACCGGUGGCGAAGGAGACUUACUGGACUUAAACUGACGCACAGGCAUGAAAGCGUGGGGAGCAAACAGG